UAGGGAAUCUUGCGCUAAUGCGCGAAAGCGUGACGCAGCGACGCCGCGUGAGGGAUGACGGCCUUCGGGUUGUAAACCUCUUUCAGCGGGGACGAAAUUGACGGUACCCGCAGAAGAAGGUCCGGCCAACUACGUGCCAGCAGCCGCGGUAAUACGUAGGGACCAAGCGUUGUCCGGAUUUAUUGGGCGUAAAGAGCGCGUAGGCGGCUCUCCACGUCGGGUGUGAAAGCUCGGAGCUCAACUCUGAGACGCCAUUCGAUACGGGAGAGCUAGAGGCAGGUAGAGGAGAGUGGAAUUCCUGGUGUAGCGGUGAAAUGCGCAGAUAUCAGGAGGAACACCGGUGGCGAAGGCGGCUCUCUGGGCCUGUCCUGACGCUGAGGCGCGAAAGCUGGGGUAGCAAACAG
Molecule: ribosomal RNA, 404 nt
Filed under: uncultured bacterium
Lineage: Bacteria
Description: bacterial SSU rRNA
Rfam family: Bacterial small subunit ribosomal RNA
Source: RNAcentral